GGGUUAGCUUAUAUGCCAAUAAGUUAAUAAGUAGUUUUUUAAAAAGUGUUUGGCUUAGCUUAUUUAUGUAAAAUGACCAAAAAGGACAUCCCUUUAAAAAGUGUUUGGUUUAGCCAUAGUUGUUAAAAGCCAUCGCCUCUUGCGACUAGGCCCAUUUUUCAGGCGAGGCGAGGCAGUUGCGCUUUAAGUUGAGGAAAUUGCGCUUUAACUCUCUAGGUGAUGGUUCAGGCACACAUUCCGCCAAGACGCCUAGAUUCCGGAGAGUUUCCGGCUAAAUUCCGACAAGAUUCUAGCCAAAUUUCUACUUUUAAUCAAGGAAAACUAAUUUAUAACACUAAUAAACUAAUAUUUUGGUACUAAUUAGAUGAUAUAAAGUGUUACAUAAUAGACUUUGUUUAUUUUAUUUGAAUAAUAGUAUUUUUUUUUCUAAUACAUAAUAUAUUUUUUAAAUUUUUUCAUUAUGCGCUAUUUUUUUCUCAGGCCCUCGCUUUUUUUGCGCUUUGCGCCUAGGCCCCAAGCGAGGCCUGAGUGCCUUGAGUGCGCCUAAUGCCUUUAAUAACUAUGGGUUUAGCUUAUAUAAUUUUUUCUCUCUAGACACCAAUCCACCAUAUACUCACCAACAAGGCAUAUAAGUUCGUAGAAAGCCUAUACAGUCUCAUAAUGUACGUUUCUAAAUUCACCAACCGGUACAAUAUAAUCAGCAUGCAGCAGCUAUUUGUUUCUAGGUUAUAGCAACUAUAGGAAUCACACAUCCUACUUAAAUCAAAACUUAUUAGUGUCCUUGAUAUGUCAUAAAGUUUUGAACGACUACAACCCGGUGACGAAGCUUGAAAAUUUCCACCGGGGGGUCAGAAGUCACCGGACCUAAUAUUUGGGGGGUCGAAACGUAUAUACCUAAGAAAUUCUAUACGACACGUACAUACAUAACACUACUGAGUGAAAAAUUCCCCCGGCCCCUUGAAAGCUGCGCCCCUGCUACAUCCUACACUUUGUUUGCAUAGAUAAUCUCUCAUCACAAUACUAACCUAAGGUGACUUUUCUAUCCGAUUAACACCAUACAAAAACAGAUAUAUUUCAAACUUGACCCAAGAACUCCAAACAACUUCCCAGUUCCCCUAGGUUACAUCUUAUAAAGUGCAUAUGCAAAUAUAUAAAAAAAAAAAAAAAAAAAAAGCAUUUCACCUAUGAAAAUAUGAAAUUCAAACUUUCAACAGAAGAUAUACCACAAGUCUACAGCAUAUUAAAGUAUAGAUUACCUACUCGUAUAACAGUAGAUAUACAAUUAGGUAUAUAAUACAACGAUAAGAUAUAUGAUCAGAUCAUAAACACCAAAAAAAGCAUAUGAAAGUAACAAUCAGGCAGCAAAAGGUUGAAGUAACGAACUAGAAACAGCAACAGCAGCAACAAGGAUUGAAAUUGUUAUAAAAAACAUCAACAGCAGCAACGAGCAUUAUUACCUUUUGCGGAUGAUGAUGAUCUUUAGGGUUUUACGGAAGAAUGGAGAGUAGAGUGAGCGUUGAUUCUGUCUCCGGCGUCAAACCAGUUGUACGCCGUCUUCAGUGUGGCAUAUCGGCAGAGAUUGGGAGUGGCUGGUAUGGUAGAUGGCGGAGUAAUUGA
RNAcentral lists this long non-coding RNA (1617 nucleotides) under Helianthus annuus (common sunflower). RNAcentral describes it as "hypothetical non coding rna". The record is from RNAcentral. Lineage: Eukaryota; Viridiplantae; Streptophyta; Magnoliopsida; Asterales; Asteraceae.